This is a long non-coding RNA of Oncorhynchus mykiss (rainbow trout), 786 nucleotides long. RefSeq lists it as uncharacterized. NCBI's taxonomy places the organism in Eukaryota, Metazoa, Chordata, Actinopteri, Salmoniformes, Salmonidae. The record is from RefSeq and is a predicted model, not a curated record.
UUAAAGGGUUAGGGGAAGUGUUAGAUAAAAUAGCUAAGGUUUGGGUUAGGGGAAAGGUUAGCUAACAUGCUAAGGAGUUUCAAAGUAGAUAAAAAGUUGUAAGUAGUUGAAAAGUUUCUAAAAUGCUUAAGUUGCCCUUGAGGAGAUUCCAACUCAUAACCUCUGGGUUGCUAGACAUUUGCAAUAUAUACCUACCCAUCCAUCCAUCCCAACCAACCACCCUACUUCCAUUUUUGCCUUAAGUAAACAUCUGUCUUAUGUAACCAUACCAAAGGUAACAUAUCAUACUAAAUGUAGUAUUUCAGAUUUUUGUACAUAAUAAUACAAAAUGCUCUGAGACCAGGUUGCACUCUUGGUUGUUACAAGCAGUGUAGCAGUGUGAGAGUGAGAGAAAAAGCAUGUUGCAGCACCAACAUCAUCACUAAUCGCAACAGGGAAAGUAAUUGUUGUUGGCAACAACAAAACUUUUUUUGGUGCCAUCAUGAUCAUGGCAGGAGAGUGACAGCCAUGAACAGACAGACAUGCAGAGAGGCCACAAAGCAACAGGAUCCCCAGCAUUAUGCACUCAAGCCACCAUCAGUACGCACACCUGCCUUCCCCCCGUCACGCGCAUUAGCGAUCAUUGGACUCAUGUGGACUCAAUUACUUGUGUCAUUAUCCUCCUUAUAUCUGCCUGUUCCCAAGCUCUGUUCCCUGCUUCGGGAUUGAUUGUCAUAAGUCCAUGUUACCCGUGUUCUGACACUGUUCCUGUCUUGUUCUAUGUCUGUUCCCCAUUAAAUGUUUGAC